CCUACGGGGUGCAGCAGUGAGGAAUAUUGGUCAAUGGACGGAAGUCUGAACCAGCCAUGCCGCGUGCAGGAAGACGGCUCUAUGAGUUGUAAACUGCUUUUGUACAAGGGUAAACCUGAAUACGUGUAUUCAGCUGAAAGUACUGUACGAAUAAGGAUCGGCUAACUCCGUGCCAGCAGCCGCGGUAAUACGGAGGAUCCAAGCGUUAUCCGGAUUUAUUGGGUUUAAAGGGUGCGUAGGCGGAUUGAUAAGUUAGAGGUGAAAUGUCCGAGCUUAACUCGGGAACUGCCUCUAAUACUGUUGAUCUAGAGAGUAGAUGCGGUAGGCGGAAUGUAUGGUGUAGCGGUGAAAGGCUUAGAGAUCAUACAGAACACCGAUUGCGAAGGCAGCUUACCAAUCUAUAUCUGACGUUGAGGCACGAAAGCGUGGGGAGCAAACAGGAUUAGAUACCCGGGUAGUC
This 460-nucleotide ribosomal RNA is filed under the name uncultured bacterium. Its description in RNAcentral is "partial 16S ribosomal RNA". It matches the Rfam family "Bacterial small subunit ribosomal RNA", at positions 338 to 795 of the family's 1533-position model. The record is from RNAcentral.